AGGAGAGUUUGAUCCUGGCUCAGGAUGAACGCUAGCGGCAGGCUUAACACAUGCAAGUCGCGGGGCAGCGCGGGUAGCAAUACCUGGCGGCGACCGGCGGAAGGGUGCGUAACGCGUGAGCAACAUGCCCGUAUCAGGGGGAUAACCGAUGGAAACGUCGCCUAAUACCCCAUAACAACAGUUCCCGCAUGGGUAUUGUUUGAAAGUUACGGCGGAUACGGAUUGGCUCGCGUGACAUUAGCUAGUUGGCGGGGUAACGGCCCACCAAGGCUACGAUGUCUAGGGGUUCUGAGAGGAAGGUCCCCCACACUGGAACUGAGACACGGUCCAGACUCCUACGGGAGGCAGCAGUGAGGAAUAUUGGUCAAUGGGCGCAAGCCUGAACCAGCCAUGCCGCGUGCAGGAAUGAGGCCCUAUGGGUCGUAAACUGCUUUUGCUGUGGAGCAAUAAGCGUUACGUGUAGCGCGAUGAGAGUACACAGCGAAUAAGCAUCGGCUAACUCCGUGCCAGCAGCCGCGGUAAUACGGAGGAUGCGAGCGUUAUCCGGAUUUAUUGGGUUUAAAGGGUGCGUAGGCUGUUCGUCAAGUCAGUGGUGAAAUGCCGGGGCUCAACCCCGGAGCUGCCAUUGAUACUGUCGGGCUUGAAUCCUGCUGCCGUGGGAGGAAUGAGUAGUGUAGCGGUGAAAUGCAUAGAUAUUACUCAGAACACCGAUUGCGAAGGCAUCUCACGAAACAGGCAUUGACGCUGAGGCACGAAAGCGUGGGGAUCAAACAGGAUUAGAUACCCUGGUAGUCCCCU
Molecule: ribosomal RNA, 798 nt
Filed under: uncultured Bacteroidota bacterium
Lineage: Bacteria; Pseudomonadati; Bacteroidota
Description: bacterial SSU rRNA
Rfam family: Bacterial small subunit ribosomal RNA
Source: RNAcentral